GCCUUGUUUGCGUUAGUAGGUAGGGCGUGUCAGUCUCAUAAUCUGAAGGUUGUGAGUUCAAUCCUCACACAGGGCA
Non-coding RNA from Ameiurus melas (black bullhead), 76 nucleotides. The record is from the annotation of a GenBank genome assembly. NCBI's taxonomy places the organism in Eukaryota, Metazoa, Chordata, Actinopteri, Siluriformes, Ictaluridae.